This 1236-nucleotide ribosomal RNA is filed under the name Triticum aestivum (bread wheat). Its description in RNAcentral is "partial small subunit ribosomal RNA". The record is from RNAcentral. Lineage: Eukaryota; Viridiplantae; Streptophyta; Magnoliopsida; Poales; Poaceae.
AUGGCGGCGGCGGCGGACUUCACGCAGAGCAAGCAGGCCAUGUCGUACGCGCUCUGCAAGCACCUGAACCUCGAUCCAAAGAGCAUAUCCAGUACACUUAUCAAGGAGAAUGAUAUUGCGAGCCUAUUCUCACAUAUCGUGACCUCACCGCAGGAUGAGGUCAAGAAGUGGGUUGAGUUCUCCAGCAAUUUUGUUCUAAGUGAUGGAGAACAGCAUGCGUUACUUGGUAAUUUGAAUCAACAUUUGUCCCAGAUGUCGGUACUAUUAGCAGGUUUCAAACCAUCAGCGGCGGACAUUAUUGUGUUUGCAACCGUGCAUGUUUUCAUGUGUCAUCUUAGUGACAGUGAGUCGCAGAAAUAUCCAAAUAUAUUGCGGUGGAUGGACUACAUUCAGAAUGUAGUUGAUUUUGGUAUGACGCUGCAAAAGAUAAACUUGACCAAAUCUAUCUUCAACCCACCUGCAUCUGCACCUUCUCACCCAAAGAAAGCUGAUAAAGGAGAUGGUGAACCAAAUUCCAAGAAAGCUGUUUCAGGACAGAAGAUUGCGGAUAAGUCAGAUGGAGCUGCUGAUUCCAAAAAGGCUGCAGGGGAGAAUAAGGUUCCUGGGGAUAAGGCAAAUCCUACUUCUGCCAAAAACAACAAACCUUCUGGGGAUAAAAAGAAAGUCCAAGAGAAGACUGCCGGCAAAACAACAGAGGCAGCUGCAGAGAAAGCUCCACAGAAAAGUGCAGAAAAGGAUUCUGAGUGCAGUGUUAGUAUCCUGAAUAUACAGGUCGGCGUUAUUCGCAAAGCAUGGAAACACCCAUCAGCUGACAGUCUUCUGGUGGAGGAGAUAGAUUUGGGAGAUGGCAAUGUGCGUCAAGUUGUUAGUGGUCUUGCGAAGUUCUUCAGCCCAGAUGAACUUGUUAAUCGCCAUGUUGUCUUGAUCACAAAUGUGAAGCCUGGGAAGCUGCGGGAUGUAAUGUCUGCUGGAUUGGUCUUGUGUGCUUCAAAUAAAGAUCAUACAGUUGUGGAGCCUUUGAUUCCUCCGGAAGGAGCCAAGCUUGGAGAACGCAUUUGUUUUGCUGGGUUUGAUGGGAAGCCGGAAGAUGUUCUAAACCCAAAGAAGAAACAGUUGGACAAGAUAACACCGCAUCUCCGUACCGACGAGAAUGGAAUUGCAACGUUCCGAGGGGUACCAUUCACUACAUCAGCUGGUCCGUGUAGAUCCUCAGUUCCGAAUGCGGAUGUUAAGUGA